CCGGCAGUUGGUUCCCGGAGGCAGAAUCUGUUAAACUGACAAAGCCCACGUCUCCGGGUCCCUGUCUCGGGGAGUCGGGACUAUUGGGUCACCCCGGGUAGUCGAGACUCUAGACUGAGCUGUCUCGGUCACUCAGGAGGCAGUUGGCAGAGUAUUCGUGGUCAGGGAGGUGACCCGUGGUCAGCAGGGUCAGGCCACCCAGGGACAAAGGGUGCUCCUGCACCGGGCCUUGGAGAAGGACAGAGCGGUGGGGACUUGGGGUCAGCGGGGGAGCCUCCGCGGAUGGGGAGUCACCACCUGCCGGGAAUCCAGCCAUCAUCUGAGGAAGCAGUUCAUGUCGCAGCAAAGGAAGUUCUGUUCUCACCACAGCCCCUAUCUUCUGGAAGCAGCUGUCGUAAUUGAAAGGGUGCAUUUCUCACCUGCACUGUGGUCCAGGAAACUCAAGUCACCGUCCCCACCAUGUUCUUCCUGACUUCGAAGCAGUCUGGUGACCCCAGGCAGGAACUGACUAGCAUGAGAGUCUUGAUGCAGGAGAAUUUUUGAAGAAAUUCAGAAGCAGAACCGAAAGGAGGAGAGAAGGUGGAGGUGGGAAAGCUGACAGCUGGAGACUGGGGAGGGCCCUUUGAGGCCUGGGAGAGAAUAUGUGGAUGGUGGGGAGAC
Molecule: long non-coding RNA, 660 nt
Filed under: Homo sapiens (human)
Lineage: Eukaryota; Metazoa; Chordata; Mammalia; Primates; Hominidae
Description: non-protein coding lnc-GPCPD1-8:12
Source: RNAcentral